GUCAUGCUGGGAGAGGAGCAAAAUGAAGGCGUGCCAUUUGGGGAAAUGCAUGCAACAGAUGUAAACACCGAGGCAGUAGGACCAUAUAUGCAAAAUAUUUGCAAAUAGGUGAACGUUUCUGCUUAAACCAGCAGUAGAAGUGUGGCAAACAAGUAUAGAGCACAAAGGACAUGGAAUAUCUGUGGCAAAUGUUGGUGUUUAUGGUUACACAGCUCAAAGUGCUUCACACCGCCCAGAAGAAUAAAACGUGGUUCUCCAGGACAGAGGUACCAGCAGAUAAGGAUGCUGCACUGUAUGUUUAAGCACUGCCACAAACAUAGCCUGAGUCAUCGGGCUGCGCUGAAAGGGGCAGCACCAAGCUCUGCCCAUCUUCCUUCAGAGAGCUUCCUCUGAAAGCUUCUUGAUCUGCUCAGAAACUGAGACAGUGAUUUACCUUUACUUGCUGAAAACUAGGGAAGUGUUGGCCAGAACUCUGCGGGAAUUUUUCCUUGCCUACAGCAAGAAAAGCAGUAAAGGUAAGGUGUUGUCUGAGGUAGCUUUCUAAACACGACUUUCAGGGAUGUUUUAGUGACCUCAGAAUGAACCUGUCCACAUGUCAGCUUCUGAGCUGGAGACAGAGUGCAGGGCAGAACCUGCCUGGUUUGGAGCAUGCCUGAUUCUCCUUUCUGAGCACUCAGCCCCGUGGCUUUGGAUGAGAUAGCAGGACCUUCUGUGGGUCCUGCAGAGCAUGAGGCGUGGAAGGUCUCCAGCCUUGUGGUGGGCUCAGCCCCAUGGUGGGCACAGUCCCAUUCUGGGCAGAGUCCCUUGGUGCUCACAGCCCCACACCCUCCCCAGCCCAGCCAUGGCCCAGCAUCCUCUGCAGCACAGCCUGAUUCUGCACCACAGAAUUUAGGCAGAAGGUGAAAUUCUCUAGCACAGGAUAUCAGGUCUGAUGAGCACACAUGGGGAUCAGUGAUUUUUCCUCUGUAUCCUCUCUCCCCUCUGUCAGUCCUGAAGGAGGAGAAGCUGAAGCCCACCGCAAAGUAGGAGCCUAUUUCCCUUGUGCAGCUCCCUUUUAUCAGAUGUAAUUACUGGCUUUUAAAAUAGCCUUGCUUCUCUUCUCAUCUGACAGCCACAGGCUUGCCUGCCAAGGUGCCAUUUGUCUCAGCAUAACAAGAGGGAGAAGAAGUUUCUCAUCCCUCAGCAGGGAUGCAGUGAGACAGCUUCCCAGGUGACUGCAGGCCUAUGGGCAUCUUUAUCCUGAUCCUGCAGCCCCAGGGUGAUCAGACAUGGCACAGUGCUGCACUACAUGCUGGGACUGGCAGACAGUGCUGCUCUCACCAAGACUCUGCUGCUGAAUGCCCAUACACUUUCUGGGGAUGGUAAGCACUGGCAUCAGUAACUGCAGGAUACUUCACUUGGUUCUUAUUGGUAAGGCCAAGGUGCUGUCUCAGCUGCUGCUCUCCAGUGGGAUGGUGGCCGUGCAAGUGUUUUAUUUUCAGUGCUUCAGACUGGAGAACUCCAAAUGAGGGUGCACCUCAACUUCAUGGCUGCAGAAGCAUA
Gallus gallus (chicken) is the source of this 1542-nucleotide long non-coding RNA. RefSeq lists it as uncharacterized. The transcript is spliced from 3 exons. The record is from RefSeq and is a predicted model, not a curated record. Lineage: Eukaryota; Metazoa; Chordata; Aves; Galliformes; Phasianidae.